Non-coding RNA from Beta vulgaris subsp. vulgaris (sugar beet), 83 nucleotides. NCBI's taxonomy places the organism in Eukaryota, Viridiplantae, Streptophyta, Magnoliopsida, Caryophyllales, Amaranthaceae. The record is from Rfam.
UGUCAAUGAUGCAAUCAGUUUGAUGUGUGUAAUUGUAUGAAAUUCAAUGAUUACAAUCUCACUACUGCCUUCCUUCUGAGACU